GAUGAAGAACGCAGCGAAAUGCGAUAAGUAAUGUGAAAUGCAGAAUUCAGUGAAUCAUCGAAUCUUUGAACGCACAUUGCGCCCGCCAGUAUUCUGGCGGGCAUGCCUGUCUGAGCGUCAUUUCAACCCUCAAGCAACUUCUGCUUGGUGUUGGGGAUCGGCCGUCAAACGCCGCCCCCGAAAUCUAUUGGCGAUCUCGCUGUAGCUUCCUAUGCGUAGUAGUAACAUCUCGCAUCUGGAGAGCGGCGCGGUCAUGCCGUAAAACACCCAACUUCUCAGGUUGACCUCAGAUCAGGUAGGAAUACCCGCUGAACUUAAGCAUAUCAAUAAGCGGAGGA
This 338-nucleotide unclassified non-coding RNA is filed under the name soil metagenome. RNAcentral's name for it is "partial contains 5.8S ribosomal RNA, internal transcribed spacer 2, and large subunit ribosomal RNA". The stretch from base 1 to 120 matches the Rfam family "5.8S ribosomal RNA", at positions 35 to 154 of the family's 154-position model. The record is from RNAcentral.